Molecule: non-coding RNA, 1528 nt
Organism: Cicer arietinum (chickpea)
Lineage: Eukaryota; Viridiplantae; Streptophyta; Magnoliopsida; Fabales; Fabaceae
Source: RefSeq, a predicted model, not a curated record
UUUAAAUAUUUUGUAACCACACAACUCACCAUUAAAUACUACCUCCCUCUCUUCUAUGGCACAGUUGAAACAAAAAUAUUAAUAGACAUUAAUUCAUAUCAUAUGGAUAUGGAUCCAGAGAUAAAUCACGAGGUGCCUUUAAUUUCUCUACUCCAAAACGUGCCAUCCCCUUUUGUCAAUUUCUAUGUCUUACAUCUAUAUAUUAUGGCUUCAUGCAUCUCUCUCUAUUCAUAUUCAUAAAGUAUAUGUCUUAUGUUGGUUUGAGAGGUUGAAGCUGCCAGCAUGAUCUGGUCAUCUUGCAGCUUCAAUCACUCAAUCACCAACAGAUAAUUAAUUAACUUCCUUCACUUCCUGUUCAACCUCUCCAUUCAAUUUCACAGGUACCAUAUGCUUUACAUAAUUUACACUUUAUUUCAUUAUUUUUAUCCCUUCUUAAUUCUGAUCUUAUAUUUACAAUUUUGUUUAUUCAACUUUACAUGUGCUUAAACUCUUCUUAUUUCACCUCUUGCUUUGGUUGAAAUGCAAGAAUCUUAAAAAAGUUUCAUAGUGUUGUAUAUAUUAUUGUCUAUCUAGUUUAAAGGGUUGUGAAAAUGUAAUUCAUCACAUGCAUUUGCUUUGGACAAUGAGGAUUAAGAUGUAAAAAAAUGUAGUGUUGUAAACCAAAAUAUUUAUGUUAUAUUUUUGUAUUCGAUUGUAUUAAUUUAGUUUUUUUAUAUUUGUUUUUUUAACAUCCAACAUUACAUUGAUCUAAUGAAAAUUGAAAUCAGAUCUCUUAAGUAACGUCGAUUUAGGUUUAAAUUUUGAAAAUAUAAAAAAUAUAAUUAUGAGGAGAGAUUUAAUUAAACGAAAAUGGACAUGAAUAUAUCACAUAAGUAAAUAAAAAACUCUUGUUAGUAAUUAUAGAUAAUUUUAGCAUACACCAAUACAUUGAUUCACAUGCACGUAUUUGUUAAUUUGUACAAAAUUUGGAUGGAAGAUUGUGAGAAAGAACCUAAGAAGAAGGUUAAUAAUGGACAUGUAAGACAAAGUAUAAUGUUGAUAGUACUAUAGCAAGUAAAAAUCCAUAGGAGCAUGUUUUGAAUAUAUUCAAAUUAGGAAAUUAAUAUUUGUUGUAGUACUAUAGAAAUAAUAUGAGUGAUUGUACAAGAUGGAAGAAGUGAUCUAUGGAUCCCCACAAGCAAAGACAGUAAACAAUGAAUAUUGAUGAUUUGCAGGGAGUGUGUGAUUCAAUUCAACAAGUGGUACUCAUUUGUCUCGUAAUCUCAACAACCUUUAUCUAACUUUUUUCGGAUCAAUUUAGCACGAGUACUGUACACACAAAUUAUUUUUGAACGGUUUAAUUUGUUAGUUUCUUCCGUAGACAACUGUAUGUGGUGGUCCAAUAUUAUUAUAUACAUUUUUUUUUUGACUAUUGGUGGUCCAAUAUUUGGUACCAUCUCAAUCUACCUAAUUAAUUUGCCUGCUGUAUUUUUUCAAGGUAAAAGAAUCAUGCUCCUGUUAUUUUUUAUUUUUUCAUUCUAGUAUUUAA